Carassius carassius (crucian carp) is the source of this 1386-nucleotide long non-coding RNA. RefSeq lists it as uncharacterized. NCBI's taxonomy places the organism in Eukaryota, Metazoa, Chordata, Actinopteri, Cypriniformes, Cyprinidae. The transcript is spliced from 4 exons. The record is from RefSeq and is a predicted model, not a curated record.
UAAAUGAUAAAUGUCUCAGUUUUAAAAUAUCGCAUGGAACAAAGAAAAGCACAGCCUGAAAUCAAUGUAGACAAUAUAUGAAGGUUGCUUCAGGGGAAUGUUACACCAAGGACAACAACAAACGUGCAUACUGUAUUAACUGCUAUGAGAAGGUAAAGAACAGUAUUUUAGGCAUAAAUCAGCAAGAGGCUAAAACUAGUUACCUUUAUGAAAGUACACAUAAGAUAGGCUAUAAUGUCGUAUCCGAGGUUCGACUUAAAGCGGCUUUGGGACUCGCACCGCUCCGCCUUAGCUGCUACUAAUAGUCCAGCCGUGGCGUCUGUUUUAAAACAAUUUGGAGCUUCAGUGACAAUCGAAUCACACGUAGCCGCUGAUACUACAUCAAGAGACAAACCGAACAAAAAUAAUGAAAAUGCGCCGCUUUUUCACGUUCAUAACAGGUCUUGCCAUCGCCGGUGCCCUAAGCGACAUGACAGUGGAUGUAAAAAGAGGACAAAACGUCACCCUUCCGGUUAAAAUACCUGAAAUGGGGGAUGUCAAUCGAGUGACCCUUUGUGAACUUUUCAAAAACGGCACACAAGUUCCCAUCUUCCGCUACUGCUCUGACAUUGAGAAGAAGAGAGGGUGCCCCGCCAUCGACACCGACCGAUUCUCACUCCAGCUUGGAUCUGAUAAUGUUUCUGUGAUCAUUCGUGAUGCCAGUGCCGCUGACGCAGGAACAUACAAUGUCGAAGUGAUCGGGAACAACGUGAUCGAGGAAACUUUCACCGUUGUAUUCAAAGAAAAACCUGAAGAAACUUGAUUUCCUCGACUGCACAGUGGAUUCAGAAGUGGCAGACAGUCAAUCAAGCAUCUCUGGAGCAGAUGAAUGUGAGACAGCUGAAUCCUCUGAGGAACUCUGCUUGGUGGACAUGCAGGAGAAGAAACCAGAAGACCUUGACAGCACCCAUCCAGAUGCACUUCAUUUAAUCAAUAAUAAUAAUAAUAGUACUAGUAGUAAUAAUGAUAGCAGCAGCAAUAAUAAUUGUUUUUAUAUAUAAAUAUUUCUGUCAUGACGACUCUCGGAGGGAUUGGCAUGAUAAUGUACAUGACAAUGUUAAUGUAUUUGUUCUUGGGGGAAUAGAUCUGCUGUAGAGCAAGUACCGAGACUUGCUACUGAUACAUCCACGACAUGCUGCUGUGAGCAUGUAAGAAAUAUUGCUGCUGAAAAUAUAACACAUUUUUGAAGCAGACACAGAACAUUCCUGCAGUGUGUUCUGCUCUGUAAUGAGUGGAUAAAUAUGGGCAGACAGCAACGUUUUUAUAUUUAGAAGGGAACAAGCAUCCCUUUUUCAUAAAAUUUUUUUAAGGGUGUCAGGAAUAGAUGAUCUUUUUCCCUGAACACCA